UACGUAGGGUCCGAGCGUUAAUCGGAAUUACUGGGCGUAAAGCGUGCGCAGGCGGUUUUGUAAGCCAGAUGUGAAAUCCCCGGGCUUAACUUGGGAACUGCAUUUGGGACUGCAAGGCUGGAGUACGGCAGAGGGAGGUGGAAUUCCACGUGUAGCAGUGAAAUGCGUAGAGAUGUGGAGGAACACCGAUGGCGAAGGCAGCCUCCUGGGCUAGUACUGACGCUCAUGCACGAAAGCGUGGGGAG
RNAcentral lists this ribosomal RNA (245 nucleotides) under uncultured bacterium. RNAcentral describes it as "partial 16S ribosomal RNA". It matches the Rfam family "Bacterial small subunit ribosomal RNA", at positions 524 to 768 of the family's 1533-position model. The record is from RNAcentral.